AUAAUAUAAAUAUAGUAAAAUCCUGAAAAAACUCAGCUACAUAGACCAUCUACACAUUCAAAUUCCCAUUAAUUUAGAAAACAAUUUUAAGGAACAUAGCUGGGGGCGGGGAGGGGCAUGUUCCCCUUCCCAGCUCUCCAAAGGCUAGAUACCUUUUUCAUGAAGUUAUAUUAAGCAGUAACAGCAAUAGCUUUAUGUGCAAACAUCUCAAAUAUGAAGUAAGUGGCAUUUAGAGCCCAAGAAUUCCUAAUCACUAUUGCUCCUUAGCUUUCUUCCAGGCCAAUACUAAUCAGUUAAGAGUAGUUCUCUGAGCCUGAAUGUAUCACCUUAAGAGAGAUCUGGCAUGCAUGUUUCAGCUUGACUUUAUGUCAUAAUGGAAUGAUCUCUUGGGUGAGGGUCCAGGGAAAGGAGGCACCAAAUCAUCAAUUUAACUCUGGUGCCCAACCACCUCCUUUUACAUUUAAGUAGUUUCCAUGUCUUUAUUCAACUUUUUCUCCUCUAGAGGGGGGAAGAAAAGCCCUUUCAUUCAUCUUCUAUUGUAAGCACAUGGAAAACGCUGAAUUCAAUUCUAAUUCUACAUUUAUCAAGCAACCUUCUAUCGGUGAUUUCUGUCUUCACCAGCAGAGUCCUGUCAACAAGUAUUUUAAUUUGCUAAAGAUUGAAUUAACCAGUUGCAUGAUUGCAUGUGAGUGAAGCAAUAAAUUUGAAUUUUUUAGACUUCUCUUGCUCCUGAGAAACCAAGAGAAACCAUCUAAGAAAAGCAUCAGGUGUUCUAUGAAAAUUCAUAAAAUACAGCAAGAUAAAAGAGAAAUUUUAACAAUUCAAUGAAGAAAAUAGAGCAAAAGAGAUAAUGAGGGUGGAAAAGGUAGGAAGAAGUUGGAAGAAAUCACGUUAAUAUCCAAAAUGCCUACCAUAAAGUUUUAUGAAGGAAAACCUUUUCAUGUACUGAAACCAAACAAUCUACAUCAAAGUUUGAACGAUCUUGGAUGCCUCACGUUUAAGAGCUUCCUGUCUACCACCUGAAUGUUAGUCCCACUCCAGGGCCCGGAGCCUCUGCUUCUGCCCCCAAGAGGCUGCCUGAAGCAUCUUUCCACCAAGGCAGAUAGUAGUUACCAAUACUCCAGAAAGUGACAUCUUCUUUACAUUUUUUUCCAAUAAAAUAACGCAGUUACAGUUUGUGAAAAAUAAACAGCCGGCCAUGAAUGAAUGUACACGUCCACAGAAAUGGAAAAUAAAUGUAACUGAAGAAGUC
Molecule: long non-coding RNA, 1252 nt
Organism: Felis catus (domestic cat)
Lineage: Eukaryota; Metazoa; Chordata; Mammalia; Carnivora; Felidae
Exons: 4
Source: RefSeq, a predicted model, not a curated record